Molecule: long non-coding RNA, 243 nt
Organism: Magallana angulata
Lineage: Eukaryota; Metazoa; Mollusca; Bivalvia; Ostreida; Ostreidae
Exons: 3
Source: RefSeq, a predicted model, not a curated record
AAAUACUCGAAAUUUUCUCAAGUCGUCUGUAGUUGUAAAUUUCCGACAAAAUGAUUCCAUAUAGACCAUUGAUCUAUUUAUUUUAUCUGUUCGGUGUUCUAGAUGGAUCUCCAGCGAAUGACCUUUUUAAAAAGGGGCCGCCUACUGGUACAUUUCCUAAAGCAAAGCUAAAAAAUUGUCCGAGGAAUAUUGAAGAGCAAGCAGACAAAAGGGAAAAAAGUACAAAGGUAUAUUGGACUCUAC